GCUCACUGGAACAAGUCCAGCUGAAUCCAAACUCUGCAACCAUCAUCCGAGUGAGUCCUGGCCGCCUACAGCUGCUCCCAACUGGUCAGCGAUUAGGUCUGGUGUGACCCGGCCAUUCUGGCCAUGCAAAUGCUGCUGGACUUCAACUACCUGGUCGGCAAAGAGACCGCCGCAACAUUGGUGUUGCCGUGGUGACGUGUACAAACACCAAAACUCUCCGAUAUCUGACGCCAAGAUGGCGACUCGUCUUGUGAGUGACAGCCAGAUGUAGGCGCAUAUUGUCUUAAACUAUAACAUGCCUGAUUGUGCUGAUCGGGUUGGAAUGGCUGGACGUUUUGGUACCAAGGGGCUUGCAAUAACAUUUGAUUCUUCUUCCUCUAGUUCUGAACUUCUGAUGUUCCAAGUCAGGUACAAUAAAGCUUCAAGGUUGACAUAAAGGAGCUCAUUGCUUCCGCGGCUCCCUGUUUCGCCGAGCUGCACCUCAACAUGGACUAUUACGUUCCUGGCCCAUGGCUUCCUCACGUGGCCUCAUACUUUUCUUCCUGUUGAUCCUCGCCACUGU
Molecule: long non-coding RNA, 562 nt
Organism: Lolium rigidum
Lineage: Eukaryota; Viridiplantae; Streptophyta; Magnoliopsida; Poales; Poaceae
Exons: 5
Source: RefSeq, a predicted model, not a curated record